GGUGAGGUGGCCGAGCGGUCUAAGGCGCCAGACUAAGGUUAUUACGUAAUUACCUAAAUGACCAACUCAGAUUCUGAGCUUAUGUAAUCUGGUCUUUCGAGGCGUGGGUUCGAAUCCCACUCUCAUCA
Non-coding RNA from Armillaria luteobubalina, 128 nucleotides. The record is from the annotation of a GenBank genome assembly. NCBI's taxonomy places the organism in Eukaryota, Fungi, Basidiomycota, Agaricomycetes, Agaricales, Physalacriaceae.